This 1533-nucleotide long non-coding RNA is filed under the name Macaca mulatta (Rhesus monkey). RNAcentral describes it as "lncRNA (ENSMMUG00000046567.2)". Lineage: Eukaryota; Metazoa; Chordata; Mammalia; Primates; Cercopithecidae. The record is from RNAcentral.
GGUGGGUAGGGGAGUGAAAACAGCAGGAUAAACAGUUAAUGCAUGCUGGGCUUAACACCUACAUGAGGGGUUGAUAGGUGCCACAAACCACCAUGGUACAAGUUUACCUAUAUAACAAACCUGCACAUUCUGCACAUGUAUCCUAGAACUUAAAAGAAAAGAAAAGAAAAGAAACAAAUACCACCCACCUGGCUAAAAAUGCUUCUACUCCUUAAACCUCACUGAGGCAUAAAAAAAGACGUGAUGAAAAAGAUUGAUAGAUGAAGUGGGGGCGGGGUAAUGGUUCUGGAGACACUACUGGCUUUGAAUCUUACCUUUGCAAUCUGUAAGCUUUGUGAUGGAAGGUAAAUUUCCCAACCUUUUUGAGUUUCCUUUAUAAACAACUGUAUAGAGUUUAUUGAGUUUUUGAUUGAAAUAAAGAAGAUGAGAUGCAAAUUGUCCAGAAAAUAUUAAUUGAUUUGUUUAUUCAACAAUUUUUAAUUAACUUCCUACUAAUAUUUAUGUCACCAUAGCAUGGAGAAGCCAUCACUUAACUUGACUGGAUGUUUUUAAUCAAGUAACUACUCAGAUGAUGAAGAGGUUGAAAUGUCAUUGGCACAAAACUGCAAAAUGGUGAAAACUUACCCAGUGUCUCCUUUUUCAUGUAUGACAAACUGUCAAGAUAUAGUAAUGAAGGGAGAAGAGCUUGAUAAAGAUCCAAAGUUUGGACUAAUAGCAAAGGUUCUAGAAGAUGAUGCUGAAGAAGACAAAAGGAGGAAAGGAAGGAGCAUGGAAGCAUAACUUAUGUGCAGAGGAAUACAGGGUCUUUCAGGGGAGCAACAGAAUCAGGUUAUGGUUAAAUAACCUAUCAGCCUGUGCCACCUUGUCCUAUUAUAUUUCUUCCCGCUUUCUCAUUGCAUAGGGACAGAUCAUAGAUUCUCAAUUAAGACUUGACCUGUAGGGUGUCUGCUGAGAUACUGCAUUUCAUAAUGACAAAUAAAUAUUUCGGCCAACUAAGUGGCAACUUGUCUUUUGAGGACAGAAUACGUGUUAAAACUUAUCUAGUGCACACACUUGCCUGACUGUUGUUGACUUUAGUUAGUUGCACAGUGACUAUUUGCUUUGGCUAACUUUUAAGUAAUUUCUUCUGGAACUCCCUUCAUUUUAGAACCUCUUUGUGACAAUAAUUCACUUCUAAAUCUCAGUCUGUGGAUUAAGAACACAUCCAUGUUAGUAGAGAUAUUAGAGGGAUUAUGAAUCUGCCUUGCAUCAAAGUCUAUGAUUAGAUUGGAAGAAAUUUCCUAUAGAAAAAGUACGUUUAUAAGUGCUUAUAGAUGCAGUGAAAUGAAUACAAAUUCAUAUUAAAAAGGAUUGGAUCUAGAGCAGCUUUUCCUUGAUAUAUUCCUUGGUGAUCAACUAAUCCUGAAGUUAUAAAACUAUCACAUUUUUGUUUGGCAGUAUCUGUGACAUCUUUUGGAAUUAUAAAACUAUGGACUAAAAAAAUCAGCUACCAUAGAGUUUGGCUUAGGUUUAGAGCCACAUAGUCCUUUAGAU